This is a long non-coding RNA of Brassica napus (rape), 611 nucleotides long. RefSeq lists it as uncharacterized. The record is from RefSeq and is a predicted model, not a curated record. The transcript is spliced from 2 exons. NCBI's taxonomy places the organism in Eukaryota, Viridiplantae, Streptophyta, Magnoliopsida, Brassicales, Brassicaceae.
CUCCACCUGUCGCCCCGGAUCAGCCUGCCCCACCGGCUGCAGUUCAUCCCGAUUUGCGGGUGCCAGCUCAUGCACCAUUCGCAAGAUACACCGUCGAGGAUUUGCUUGCCCAGCCCGGACGAGAGGGUUUACACGUUCUGGACCCCGAUAGACCCCCGGGUACUUAUUGGUUUGGGGCUAACAACCGUGUUAGCCGGAGCGUUUCAGAGACGAUGAAGGGAUAUUAUGACGGCCCUUAUCCCAACUGGACCAUGACUCCCGAUCACGUCAAGACGACGUGGUUUAAAUGUUUUGCGGUAAUUAUAUUUACAUAUUAUUAAUAUUUAUAUUGUUAAUUAAAUAAUUAUUUUUUUUUUCUAAUCUUUUAAAAUGUUUGUUUUUUCAGCAAAGGUGGAACUGGUCCGUAGGAAUCACCGAGAGGGUGAAGAGCGAAUUUAUUGCAAAGGCGAAAACUCGUCUUUGCAACACCGUCUCCGAUUGGAAGGACAAGUGGGAGAUUUACGGCUAUGAGGGGAAGCCGAGCGGGGUCACAAAGGAAGCAUGGGAUGGCCUCAUCACCUAUUGGAACGAACCCAGCUCCAUCCGCAAAGCCAACUCCUGCUCCGCUUCCC